CGCGUCAACUCCACGAGGUUGUCCAGUUGUUGAUCAAAAUUCAGCUGUAAGUUUUUUACUUACCAAGAAAACUAUUAGUUUUCGUCGUGAUCGAAGGCAGUGGACAUGCCUGGUGGGGGAGUGGUGGAACGACUGGAGUGGAGUGGAGGAAAGUGAAAAAGUGACACGAGCAUAAUCCUAUGCCAUGAAGAGCAAAACUGUUUUGACUUAAAGAUGGAGUGGGACUGGUGGUCUAGAAUGCAGGGACCGUCUUCACAACGCAAGGGGCCUGCACGGGGUAAAUGGUGGGCCAAUCUCAGAAACCCUGUCUGCCCUCAGCCCAACUCCCGUUGGCAUAGGCGCCGACCCCAAUCAUUUGGAGUACUGCCAGAUGUGGAUUUGGACUCUGUGCAUGUGAAGACUUUGGAUGAAAUACUGCGAGAAAGAGAAGCUAAAAAGUGUAGAGAACAGGCUAAGACUCUGACCUGUACAGGUUGCGGCAGUCAGGAAACAACCAGGGGAGACCUCCGGAUGGUCCAAUGCCAAGACCAGAAUCCAGUCCAUCGGAUCAGACUGAGCCAGUAUAACUUCCACAGAGAAGACAGGGAUGAGGAUGAAGAAGAUGAAAUGGAAGUGGUUGCUAUGGAUACAGCCGAAUCUGAUGAAGGUGAAGAGAUUUACUUUUCUCCAGAGGAGCUGUAUCCUAAAGAACCUGAUGAGGAGACAAUUGCUAGCUCCCUGCAGGAGGAGGGAUAUGCAACUGCUCUGGCUGAGGAGGAAAGAGUUUCAAGUGAACGAGGAGACCUGGAUAUCCUCCGAGUGGAUGUUGAGUAUGACAAGAGCUGCCAAGAGACAAGUGGAGAAGAUAUUGAUAAUCUUGACUGUUCUCGAGAUGACUUUGAUCCUGAUAAUUCUGAAAGAAGCAUUGGUGAAGAUACAGAUGUAAGGUCUCAGGAGGGGGAGUGUAAAAUUGCUCAGGUUGAGGCAGAAAUCGACAACAGUGAUCAGGAAGACAUGGACGCAGAUGAGGCUUUGAAACAAGAUGAUGUCCAAGUGGAUGGUGGAGGUGACCAGAAUUGCAAAGAGGAAAAUGAGAUAGACGUGGAGGAUGUCGAUUCUUCUCUAGAUGAGUUGUUUUCUGGAGAGCUUGAAAUUGACAUUGACGAGGAAGCUGAAAGUGCAUCUCUUGAGAAGGAAUGCAAAGUUUCUGAGGACUGGCAGGGCAUCAUCCACAGUGAACGGGCAAUCAAGGAGGGAGAUAGUGAGACUGUGGAACAAGGCAUCCUCCUUGUGGAUCCUGGUGGGGACGGGAACUGCCUAGAGGAGGUAGAUUUGGACCCCUCAGAGAAUGUGUGUCUUAGAGAGCUCAAGAAUAAUGCCAGUCAAGUGACAAAUGAUGGCUCACAGGACAGGGAAUGUACACUUCAUGAGGGGGAUAAGGAAAUUGUCUCCAAGGAACAGGAAAUCAAAGAUGAAGAGGUUUUGCUGCAGGAUGACCUUCAAAUGGAUGUAGGAUAUGAUGCGAACUUCCAAGAGGAUGACAAAGACAUUGAUUUGAAUGGUUCUCCAGAUGAAGUUUGUCCUAAAGAACCUGACGGGAGCAUAAAUGAAGAGACAAGUCGUACAUUGCAAGAAAAAAAAGAAAGUCCAACUGUCCAGGUUGAGAAGAAAAUCAUCAACAUUGAAAAGAUUGACAAGGAGAAAGAUGCUGAGGCUGUGGAACCGACAAGCCUCCAAGUGGAUGCAGGAGGUGACAGGAGCUGUCAAGAGGAAGUCAUUGAGGACUCUGAAAACAGUGACGGUUCUCAGGAUGAGCUCCACCUUGGAGAACUCAAUGUUGUUGAUAAAGAGAUCAGUAUCAGCUGUCAAGAGGAAGACAAUCAAGAUCUUGAAGCCAAGCACCCAGUCAAGACGAGAGCCGACAAUUACCAACAAAAUGACAAUACGGUAGAAAUCACCAACACAGACACAAAGGAGGAAAAGGGAGAACGCGAAGUUGAAAUCGGAAGAAAGCUUGAUAAGGCCCUGGAUGAGAGCUCUCAAGAAGACGGCCAGAAGGUCUUUGGUGAAGAUGUAAGUAGCUCCAUAGAAACAGACAAAGAGGAGAGGGAGGAGGAUGUCAAAGUAGGGAUAGAGGAAGAAAGGCAUAAGGGGACAGAAGAUGAUAAUUUCCCUGAUGAAAGCACCCAGGAUGUGGCGGACAGUUCCGAACAGAGUCAGCAGGAUACCAACUGUGUGGAGAAACUCAGCGAUGAGCAGAGCCUUGGUGCAGGCCCUGGUAUGAGUUUGAUGGUAGAUGAUUGUAGGACACACAAGUUAGAAGCUGUGACUACUUUGAACCAAGAAGAGAAUACUGUUUCCUCCUUUACUACCAAUGGGCCUGUUGAUGCUCCAGCUGAAAGAGAACAAGAAACUAGAAAUGCAGCCACUACAUUAAAAAUGAAUGAAUGUCUACCAAGAGCUCUCCAAGACAAAGACGUCAUCACUCCCCAGGAGGCUGUGAAUCCUGUUGAAGGAGAUGACUUAGAACCUCCGGACGUACCUACGGUUAAUAAGGACCAGAUUAAAACAACCACCAGGCCUUACACAAGGAAAAGAAAGUGUGAAGAGAUGAUGCAAGGCUUGGUCAAAUUUCUAAAGGUGAGACAAAGAGUCGGAGUUAGAAUAGAUGCGCCAAGAAAGGCCAGGGACAAAAGUACAGGACAAAGACGGGUCAGAAAUGAUAAGGUUGGACAGGGUGCCAUGGUUAAGGACAAACAAGAUAGGGAAGAAGCUUUCAUCUCGGACAUUCCUGAGGUCCCACAGACAAGGCAGCAACAUACUAGAGUAGCUGCAGAGCCCAAAAGAAGAGGUCGACCAUGUUCAAGACCUAAGAAAAUUGGAGAAGGAGAUUCUCUAAUGUCAGGACAAACAAAAGAAAAAGGUAUAGCUGAUUCAGUGGUUACUCCUUGUCAACUUAGAAAAAGGAGGUGUAAGGAAAGAGGGGAAGAUGAGUCUAAGAAGCAAGGACAAACAAAUCAAGUAGGACCUGAUGCAGAGGUUGCUCCAACUCAACGUGGAAAAAGCAGGUCUAAGGACAGAGUAGGAGAAUUUUCUAUGAAGAAGGGACAAACGGACCCAGUCGGAUCUGAUGUAGAGGAUGCUCCAAGUCGACCUAGAAAAAGCAGACCCGAGGAAAGAGGGAAAGAAGUUUCUAAGAAACAAGUACAAAAAGAAGUAGGACCUGAUUCAGAGGUUGCUCCAAAGCAAUUUAAAACAAGCAGGCGUAAGGGAAGAGGGGAAGAAGAUUCUGCUAAGCAAGGACAAACAAGGCAAGUGGGACCUAAUUCAGCAGUUGCUCCGAGGCAACUUAGAAACAGCAGGCACAGAGAAAGAAAGACGGAAGAUUCAAUGAAGAAGGGGCAAACAGAACAAUUCAGGCCUGAUUCAGAGGUUGAUUCAAGUCAACCUAGAAGAAAAAGGCGAAAGAAAAAUGGGGAAGAAGAUUCUAUCAACAAGGGACAAAUAAAACAAGUUGGACCUGAUGCACAGGUUGCACAAAGUCAGCUUAGAAGCAACAGGCCUAAGGAAAUAGAGGAAAAAGAUUCUAGGAAGAUGGGACAAACAGAACAAGACAGACCUGACGUAGAGACAGCUCCAAGUCAAAUUAGAAAAAGCAGGUCUAAGGGGAGAGAGGAAGAAGAUUCUGAGAUGCAAGGACAAACAGAACAAGUAGAACCUGAUGCAGAGGUUGCGUCGAGUCAACUUAGCAAAAGCAGGUCUAAAGAAAAAGAGGAAAAUGUUUCUAUAAAGAAGGGACAAACAAAAGACGUCAGACCUGAUGCAGAGGUUGCUCCAAGUCAACUUAGAAAAAAAAGGCCCAAGGAACGACGGGAAGAAGAUUCUGCUAAGCAAGGACAAACAAAGCAAGCAGGACCUAAUUCACCGAUUGCUCUGAGUCUUAGAAAAAGCAGGGACAACAAAAUAAAGGAGCAAGAUUCCAUGAGGAAGGGGCAAAGACAACAAGUUGUACCUUAUUCAGAUUUUGCUUCAAAUCAACAUAGAAAAAGCAGACCUCAAGAAACAGAAAAGAUUACUGUAAAGAAGGGACAAACGGAACAAUUUGGACAUGAUGCAGUGGUUGCUCCAAUUCGACCUAGAAAAAGCAGGCGUAAGGAAAGAGGGGAAGAAGAUUCUGUCAAGAAGAUACAAACAAUACAAGUUGGACCUGAUGCACGGAUUGCACAAAGUCAGCUUAGAAGCAGCAGGCCUAAGGAAAGAGAGGAAGAAGUUUCUAUGAAGAUGGGACAAACAGAACAAGACAGACCUGACGUAGAGGCAUCUCCAAGUCAAAUUAGAAAAAGUAGGUCUAAGGAGAGAAAUGACAAAGACUCUCAAGUGCAAGGACAAACAGAGCAAGUCCGACCUGAUGCAAGGGUUGCUCCAAGUCAAAUUAAAAAAAGGAUGAGUAGACGGAAGGUGAAGGAUAUACAGACAAAUCACGAUCAAAAUCAGAAAGACCCAGAGAAGAGACUAAAGAGGUGCCGAUCAAGGGUAAAUACCUUGGUGGUAGAUGGGAAGCAACUGCGGAGCUGUUUGGAGUGCAGUGAUCAUGCGCAGAAGGGUGGGGCCAAUUUGAGACAACUAAAAACAGGAGAGAUGAGGGUAGUGGAAGAGGGAGAUAACAUCCAAAGGAAGGUAAAAAAACUGAAGGGAGAUGGCUGUGUGGAUGAGGAUACCUUGCCCACAAUGUCCCCUUCAACUGAAACGGUGACUGCUCAGAAGCGAGGAAAUGAGCCAAAGCAGUCUACUGUGAGCUCUUUGCAGCCUCCAUCAAAAACGGUUGUAGAAGCAGCUGAUGUUAACCAAAGCUCUCAUGUAGCAACGAAAUUGGACAAAGUGGAGCUGAAGAAGAGUUCUUCUGCCCUUGCUGCCAAUGAGAGGCAGGUUACUGAGAGUGAUGCUGCCGAAUCACCAUGUCAAGAAAGCAUCAAAGUAAAAAGGGGCAGUACCAAGAGGAGGGGCAUCUGGAAAGAAAUGGUCAGCAAGUGCCUACAUGUAGUUUCGAAGAAAAGGAGGAAGAGGAAACGAGAUGGAAAUCAAGACCUACAUUCUCCAGGAUGGGAAGAUGGUGGCUCAUCCUCCAAGAAACAGAAAAGAAUCUUGAAAAUAAAAAUUCCCAGUCCCAAGUAUAAACAAGCUUUGAUUCCUAAGAGUGUGCCAUGCAGUUCCCCAUUGAAAGACUCAACUGAUAAAGUGGAUUCCACUUCGGACUCGGUUAAGAAUAUUUUCCAAGACAGAAGGGUCAACCAAGAAAAGACAGAUGUUGACAUGCCUCAAGACAGGGUUCCAUAUCUUGAAACAUCUCCAAAAUCAAACCAGAACCUUGACCAAGAUGAUAGGGAAAAUCAGCAACUGGCUGGGGUAAAUGCUGUCGACCAGCGCCUUUCUAAGACUGUCAGAUUACCUUUCCUUGAUGCAACUCCAGAAUCUGAUCAAAACCUUGCCCAAGAUCUCAAAGUCAAUCAGGAACUGGAAGUUACAAUUGCAGACCAUCCUCGUCCUGAGACUGGAAGGGUUCCUUACCUUGAUGCAACUCCGGAUUCAGAUCGGAAUCUUGUCCAAGAUAUUCAAGUUAAUCAGGAAUCUGAAGGGGGAAAGUCUGAACAUCCUCCUCCUGAGACCAGCAGGGUUCCUUAUCUUGAUGUAACUUCUGAUUCAGAUCAGAAUGUUGUCCAAGAACCGAGAGUCAGUAAGGAAACUGAAAGGGAAAAGGCUGACCAGUCAUUUUCCAAGACCUCAAGGAUUCCUUGUAUUGAUGCAACUCUAGAAUCAGAUCAGAGCAUUGCCCAAGAUGUAAAUAAGGAAUUGAAAGAGGUAACUUCUAACCAGAUUCUUUCUGAGACAAGCAAGGAUCCUAACAUUGAUGCAACUCCUGAAUCGGAUCGGAUUGUUGUCCAAGAAAUCAGAGUCGAUCAUGAAACGGAAGGGGGAAAAGCUGACCAGUCGCUUUCCGAAACCAUCAGGAUUCCUUUUGCUCAGAUAUUAGCCAACCAGCCUCGGGUCCUGUUGUGCAAACUGAACUUCAAGGUAUCUAUCCCCCUGGAUUGCAUCACUCUGAAGACUCGACGUUCCACUCGAAGAGGACGUCCCAGGAAGAUGACAUCCAUCGCUAAGAAGGCACAGAAGAUGACCAGGGGUCUUAAAGGGAUGGAAGGGACCUGGAACCAGCUGGGAUUCAGAAAGCCAUCCCAGCUCAUCCAGCCUGGCAGCGAGGCACUCUCUGAUGAAUCCUUCUCAGUGCCUGCACAGCAUCCAUCAACAUCUCAAGAAGGGCAUUCCAUUCCUGGACAAGAACGCGAUUCAGCUGUUGCAACCACCUACGGAGACUCUGACAGCCUCAAUCAACCUGUGAGGACUGAAGGUGAUGCUGAUUAUCUUGAUUGCUCAGGUGAAAUUGUGGAGGCUCCAGAAGUUGCUCACACUGUGGAGAUUGUCUCGACUGACGGAAUCCCUCCACCAACCACUAAUGGCUUCGUUGAAGUCGCUGGCAGUGUACAAGAGAGGCUGACGUUCGACUCAGAAAAUUCCCCUUGUGACCAAGAAUCGUGCCAGCUUUGUACACCAGAUGACAAAUCCUUUGAUUACGAGUUAGAAAACCAAGUGCAAAUCAUAAGCAGCGAGUACGAGGCGAUGGGUCUGAGCAGCUCAGAGGAUGGCCCAGACCUGUGCUUCACGUCGGCCUCCAUGAAAGUUGUGGUUACAGCUCUGGCCCCUUCGGGCUGCGCAGAUAUCCCCCUGGUCUCGCUGACCAGCACCCAGUCAGGUGCCGAGGAGGUCCCAGGCUACCCCCACACCCUACCCCCCAUGCAAAUCUUCCUCAGUAAAAUGACUGAAUCUGGGCAGACGGACGCAGCGCUCCAAACAUUUGCCCGGGAUUUGGGCGAGAACUUGUCGAUCGAUCAGGUUGGAGUAACUGAGGAUGUUAGAAGUCCUCUUGAUGCAGAAAAUGAGGAGUGCACAGAGAACUCUCCAAGACUAGAAGCCGGGGCUUUAACUCAGAAAGAAAACUCUGAGACUGAAGCAGAGGUUGCCGUUAGUCAUCAAGAGAGGAUGCCCCAGUCUCCUGAGAGUCGUAGGGAAGACGAGGAUCGUCAAGCUGCAGGCAGCAGCAGAGUGGAAGACUCCAAGCGUACGGAGACAGAAGCUGAACGGAUCCAGGCCACCACCAUUCCAACAGUGACCAGCCCCCCUAGUCAAGACAUCUCAGACUGCUUCCUAACCCCUAACCCACAACCUCCCAUGAUCCUGUCUGCAUCCCCGGAACUGGAUGCGCUACUGUCUACGAUAGCCGACACGUCGUUUGGCGUUGCUCCACCGCAGGAUGCGCCAUCCACGAUGUUAGAGCAAGGAGAGGAGAAUGUUCCAGAGAACCACUGCAAAAAUCUGGCCGUUCCUGAUGGACAAAAGAUGACCGACUAUUUGCAGACUCCACAAAAUGAUGCUUCAAGUGUCAUUCCCGCUCCAAUUACCUCUGUCGCUCCCCCGGCCACAACAUUGGAAAAUGAGGACCUGGACUCGCGCAAUGCAUCCAGCCAGUUCGGCGACCUGACCCUGCCACCUCUAGGCGAGGACUUUGAAUUUCCUGAGGAGGACUGCAUCUCCCUGGACUGCGACACGGAGAGCUUCUUGAACGAUCUCAGUGACGAAUUGACAGAAAUUGACAGGAAGAUCAGUGAUGCAGAGAAAAGAACGAAAUCAGGAUCUCCAUCUCAAUGUAGGAACAGACCCCUGCACACCGCUGACACCAAUGAUCAACUCGGAAAAAGUGGCCCAUCUCGGAAAGAAAUUGCGACCCCCAGAGAGCAACCCUCUAUCCAUACAGUGGACUGGUCCGAGGUGGAGCAGUACCAACCAAUCAGCAGGAGCCUAGCAGGCGGGGACUGUUCCACUAAUGACCUGCGGAGGUUUAUCAGAAAGGAUGAGGGGCACUCCGUGGGGACCCAAGAUGCUUCACAGCCGACAGCUGCGGGUAGAAACUGGUCAACAACUCCGAGCCAUUUCCAAGGAUCGGUAAAUACUCAACCUCAGCCCGUAUCAAGAAACCAGGUGAUACCUAGAGGCUUCUGCUAUGAUUUUGUUCGGAAUGGUCGUUGUUUACGCAGAACUUGCCCUUAUGUACAUUCCAAACCCAAGGUCAGCACUCGGACUCAGGUGAAUGAAUGCAACAUGGCGUUGGGCGUACAUCUGAGAGGUCGGCAUUCUAAUGAACAAGGAUUCUUGAGGCCUGUCAGCUACCCUAAUAACAUAGGUGUGAGGACCGAGAGACCACCAGUCUGGACUCGGAGGGCAACGCCUCCCCGGCAGCCAUAUUUGAGGCGGCCUACCUACUUCAGCAAUGCUCCUCCUGGCGUGAGACCAGGGAGACCCUCAUUGACAUCUGCCAGCGCAAGCCCGAGGUGGCCAGUUGCCGGCCGGUGGUCCAGGAACUAAUGGACAAGCUGCGCGGCUCGCCCGAGGUGCUGGGGGAGAAAUUUGGCAACUUUGUGGCUGUCUUCAAGAGGUAUCUUGCCGAGAAUGCCAGUGACCCUGCGACGGAUAGCCUGAAGCAAGCCCUAUCACGCCUGGGGGUCAGUAGUGCCAUGCUAUGCUGUAACAAUAGCCAAUGGCACCAGGCUCGAUACAUCCUAGACUGCCUGUACAAUCAAAGCUUCCCUUG
Molecule: unclassified non-coding RNA, 8677 nt
Filed under: Patiria miniata (bat star)
Lineage: Eukaryota; Metazoa; Echinodermata; Asteroidea; Valvatida; Asterinidae
Description: titin homolog, transcript variant X1
Source: RNAcentral